Molecule: ribosomal RNA, 334 nt
Filed under: uncultured bacterium
Lineage: Bacteria
Description: bacterial SSU rRNA
Rfam family: Bacterial small subunit ribosomal RNA
Source: RNAcentral
AUUGAACGCUGGCGGCAUGCGUAACACAUGCAAGUCGAACGGUGUUUGGUGCUUGCACCAGACAUAGUGGCGGACGGGUGAGUAAUGCGUAGGAAUCUGUCUUAGAGAGGGGGACAACCCGAGGAAACUUGGGCUAAAAACCGCAUAUUCUCGAGAGAGGAAAGCAGGGGACCGGAAACGGCCUUGUGCUCUAAGGUGAGCCUACGUCGGAUUAGCUAGUUGGUAGGGUAAAAGCCUACCAAGGCGAUGAUCUGUAGCUGGUCUGAGAGGACGGACAGCCACACUGGGACUGAGACACGGCCCAGACACCUACGGGAGGCAGCAGUGGGGAAUA